This 580-nucleotide long non-coding RNA is filed under the name Canis lupus familiaris (dog). RNAcentral's name for it is "lncRNA (ENSCAFG00000050634.1)". The record is from RNAcentral. Lineage: Eukaryota; Metazoa; Chordata; Mammalia; Carnivora; Canidae.
AUGUGCCUCUAUCCAGUAAUGACUUUGACCCUGAAGCCCCAAAAAGAAAAUCAAGGGUCACCCAGGGUGAAUGAAGACCAUACAUGUCCUUUCUGUUUAAGGCUGUAUGUUUGUUUACUUAACCUCUCAUCUUCUGUCUUGGCAUGCUUUUCAAACCGAGGAUCUACAUCACCUGUUCUCUUGUUCUUUCUCCUACCCCUCCAGAAUCCUGAAGCUAGACAAAGACCUGCAGUCUUUCUGGUACCUGAGUGAAUGAUCAUGAAAACCCUAUUUCUUACCUUAACCCAGUCUUAUCAUGAAACGCCACUCUGCCUCUGAGGGAGGAAGCACAGUUCAGAGAACCCCUGUCCUCACGGUCCCCUCAGCACAGUGCAGUGGGAUCAGAUCCGUCUUCCAGUUUCACUGGAGUUCCAGUUUCCCAGAGUUCCUGGGUCUCAUUUCUCAUCUGCGGAGAAAGGCAGCGAGGAUCUUUCUAGAAACGAAUUAUGAGUGCAAACUCAGCAAAACCACCCUCAGUAGAAAGGCCAGAACUGGUAUGUAUUAAACUGGUGUGUAUUUCGGAGAGGAACUUCUACUGCCA